Molecule: transfer RNA, 74 nt
Filed under: Alphaproteobacteria bacterium
Lineage: Bacteria; Pseudomonadati; Pseudomonadota; Alphaproteobacteria
Description: tRNA-Gly
Source: RNAcentral
GGGGGUGAGGGUUGGGAGCCCAGUGUCCUCUGCCCAGGGGUCGCGACCGGGUUCGAUUCCCGGCACCUCCACCA